Molecule: ribosomal RNA, 800 nt
Filed under: uncultured Chitinophaga sp.
Lineage: Bacteria; Pseudomonadati; Bacteroidota; Chitinophagia; Chitinophagales; Chitinophagaceae
Description: bacterial SSU rRNA
Rfam family: Bacterial small subunit ribosomal RNA
Source: RNAcentral
CAUGCAAGUCGAGGGGCAGCGGGGUAGCAAUACCGCCGGCGACCGGCAAACGGGUGCGGAACACGUACGCAACCUUCCCGAAACAGGUGAAUAGCCCUCCGAAAGGAGGAUUAAUACACCGUGAGAUACAGAGAUGGCAUCAUCUUUAUAUUAUAGAUCGCAAGAUCGGUUUUGGAUGGGCGUGCGCCUGAUUAGGUAGUUGGUGAGGUAACGGCUCACCAAGCCUUCGAUCAGUAACUGGUGUGAGAGCACGACCAGUCACACGGGCACUGAGACACGGGCCCGACUCCUACGGGAGGCAGCAGUAAGGAAUAUUGGUCAAUGGACGCAAGUCUGAACCAGCCAUGCCGCGUGAAGGAUGAAGGCCCUCUGGGUUGUAAACUUCUUUUAUCUGGGACGAAAAAAGGGCUUUUUAGCUCACUUGACGGUACCAGGGGAAUAAGCACCGGCUAACUCCGUGCCAGCAGCCGCGGUAAUACGGAGGGUGCAAGCGUUAUCCGGAUUUACUGGGUUUAAAGGGUGCGUAGGUGGGUAAGUAAGUCAGUGGUGAAAUCUUCAAGCUUAACUUGGAGACUGCCAUUGAUACUAUUUAUCUUGAAUACUUUGGAGGUAAGCGGAAUAUGUCAUGUAGCGGUGAAAUGCUUAGAUAUGACAUAGAACACCAAUUGCGAAGGCAGCUUACUACACAGUUAUUGACACUGAGGCACGAAAGCGUGGGGAUCAAACAGGAUUAGAUACCCUGGUAGUCCACGCCCUAAACGAUGGAUACUCGACAUUAGCGAUACACGGUUAGUGUCUGA